AUGUGUAUGAAAGUCAUAUGUCCACUAAUUUAUGCGACGAUAUUGCUCCUUCCCUUUUAUUUCUGGGUCUGUUAUUUUAUAUUGAGUGGCGCGGCAGAAAUUCAUCAUGCUAUUUUUUAUAUAAAUUACUUUAUUUUAAUAAUAUCUAAGCACCAUGUUUCACUUUGGCCGAAAUCGGUGUCAACAGAAACUUAUGGUCCCUGGGUCUCUUUCUUAUUAUAUUGCAUCUCUUUUAUUUACAUCGCAUCUCGUUUACUAUUUUGCAAUCUUUACUUUUCAAUCUAUACAGCAAAAAUACCAAAAAUAUUUAUCUUAUUAUCUUUAUCAUAUCUCACUUUUGCGAGUGCUGUGAAGGGAUUGACAACCCCUUUAUCGCGUUGGUUGCAAGGUUCUUGA
This 396-nucleotide ribosomal RNA is filed under the name Triticum aestivum (bread wheat). Its description in RNAcentral is "partial small subunit ribosomal RNA". The record is from RNAcentral. Lineage: Eukaryota; Viridiplantae; Streptophyta; Magnoliopsida; Poales; Poaceae.